AAGUCGUAACAAGGUUUCCGUAGGUGAACCUGCGGAAGGAUCAUUAGUGAUUGGCCUCCGGGCUUUCAUAUCCACACACCCCUGUGAACCUGUCGGCCCUCGGGCCGCUUCGUUUUUCAAAACAUUGGAUGUAACGAACGAUGAAUAAUCAUAGCAUAAGAAAA
RNAcentral lists this unclassified non-coding RNA (164 nucleotides) under plant metagenome. RNAcentral describes it as "partial contains small subunit ribosomal RNA and internal transcribed spacer 1". The stretch from base 1 to 46 matches the Rfam family "Eukaryotic small subunit ribosomal RNA", at positions 1786 to 1831 of the family's 1831-position model. The record is from RNAcentral.